UAUACCGUGAAACUGCGAAUGGCUCAUUAAAUCAGUUAUCGUUUAUUUGAUAAUACCUUACUACUUGGAUAACCGUGGUAAUUCUAGAGCUAAUACAUGCUGAAAAUCCCGACUUCGGAAGGGAUGUGUUUAUUAGAUAAAAAACCAAUGCCCUUCGGGGCUCUUUGGUGAUUCAUGAUAACUUAACGGAUCGCAUAGCCUUGCGCUGGCGACGGUUCAUUCAAAUUUCUGCCCUAUCAACUUUCGAUGGUAAGGUAUUGGCUUACCAUGGUUUCAACGGGUAACGGGGAAUUAGGGUUCGAUUCCGGAGAGGGAGCCUGAGAAACGGCUACCACAUCCAAGGAAGGCAGCAGGCGCGCAAAUUACCCACUGUCAAUACGACGAGGUAGUGACAAUAAAUACUGAUACAGGGCUCUUUUGGGUCUUGUAAUUGGAAUGAGUACAAUUUAAACCUCUUAACGAGGAACAAUUGGAGGGCAAGUCUGGUGCCAGCAGCCGCGGUAAUUCCAGCUCCAAUAGCGUAUAUUAAAGUUGUUGCAGUUAAAAAGCUCGUAGUUGAAACUUGGGCCUGGCUGGCGGGUCCGCCUCACCGCGUGCACUCGUCCGGCCGGGCCUUCCUUCUGAAGAACCUCAUGCCCUUCACUGGGCGUGCUGGGGAAUCAGGACUUUUACUUUGAAAAAAUUAGAGUGUUCAAAGCAGGCCUUUGCUCGAAUACGUUAGCAUGGAAUAAUAAAAUAGGGCGUGCGUUUCUAUUUUGUUGGUUUCUAGAGACGCCGCAAUGAUUAACAGGAACAGUCGGGGGCAUCAGUAUUCAGUUGUCAGAGGUGAAAUUCUUGGAUUUACUGAAGACUAACUACUGCGAAAGCAUUUGCCAAGGAUGUUUUCAUUAAUCAGUGAACGAAAGUUAGGGGAUCGAAGACGAUCAGAUACCGUCGUAGUCUUAACCGUAAACUAUGCCGACUAGGGAUCGGGCGAUGUUCUUUUUCUGACUCGCUCGGCACCUUACGAGAAAUCAAAGU
RNAcentral lists this ribosomal RNA (1020 nucleotides) under Alternaria cumini. RNAcentral's name for it is "SSU rRNA". It matches the Rfam family "Eukaryotic small subunit ribosomal RNA", at positions 75 to 1104 of the family's 1831-position model. The record is from RNAcentral. Lineage: Eukaryota; Fungi; Ascomycota; Dothideomycetes; Pleosporales; Pleosporaceae.